This 202-nucleotide unclassified non-coding RNA is filed under the name Hevea brasiliensis (rubber tree). Lineage: Eukaryota; Viridiplantae; Streptophyta; Magnoliopsida; Malpighiales; Euphorbiaceae. The record is from RNAcentral.
CCAGGUUGGUUGUGGCACCACCAAACUUUUUGAUCAAGAUUGUUGACAAGGAUGGAGCAAGGGAGUAUGCCUGGCGUGAAUCUGUUAAAAAUGAUGUAGCAGCCUGAAUGUUUCUGCUCUGGGCUAGCAUUUCUUGAUUAUGUUUAAUUUGAGUUGCGAAUAGCGAACGCAACAUUCGACUGCCCAGAACUAGUUUCAAAUG